Molecule: long non-coding RNA, 1048 nt
Organism: Ziziphus jujuba (common jujube)
Lineage: Eukaryota; Viridiplantae; Streptophyta; Magnoliopsida; Rosales; Rhamnaceae
Exons: 2
Source: RefSeq, a predicted model, not a curated record
UCACUGCAAUAAUUUUCUCCCAUCAAUGUUUUGAACUAUAAUAAUUAUUUUCCUACUUUAUUUUUUAAAUUUAUAAUUUCCAAUUAUGUGUGAAUGUUUUAUUAAGUAAACCAAAUUUAUUUGAUGUAAAAAUUGUUUGUUAACCAAGAUGAACAGACUCUUGGAAAAGGAUUUAUCAUCCAUUAGAGUACAAAAUCCAAAAAAAAAAAAUGCUUGGCGUGAAGUUCACGCUACACCACCCAUAUGAAAUAGAAAAAACCCAUCAUUUAAAACCAUCCGCCUAGCAAGCACAUAGAGAUGAUCUAGUUGGCAACUUGGCGUGUCACUAUCCCUCUUCAUUAUUCAUCCCCAUUAUAUACAAAUCACCAGCUUUAUUUUCUUUCCAAAAUUGUUUCCUUUAACGAGGUGUGUUGACGCUUGGACAAGGGUUAAUUUAUAAGAUGACCUGGUCAAAAAAAUCAACCUGCUCCGAAAAAAAUCUUGGCUUUCAAGCAACACAAAAUUUUCCUCACAAUAUAAAAAACCCAUCAAAAUUUUCCUUUUCCUGCAUACUUUCAGAACCCUUUUUUUAUCUCUCUAAACUCGGUUAGCUUAUCAGCUUUUUCGUGAUCAAUACUGAUUGAAUUUGAGACAUGAGCCAAACAGGUAUGCUCAAGACUGGUUGUGCGUUUGUGCUGGGGGCUAUAUGUGGUUCUAUUGCAACUAGAUCAAGACUAGGCAUGAGUUACGAUGGUCGCCGAAACUUGCCUUGUCCUCGCCGAUCCGUUGAUGAGAAGAAAACCACUUCAACUCCGUCAACCGUUGAAACUGCAGCACCAACUAUUACAAGUGAUCAGUAGUACUCCAAUUCCCACAAGCAUCUCCUAAGACUAGAUUCCACCGAGCUUCUAUGAUUGUUAGUUAGUUCCAUGUUUUAUGUGUUUGUAAUACUUAUAUUUUACUACUUGUAUAUGUUAUUAUCGUAUUAGUGAAUAAUAUACUGAUGGUUUCCGAGGUCUGUUUUAUGUGUUUGUAAUGUAUAUUUGUCAAUUAUCUGCGGUUUCUGGUA